CAACCAAAACCUGCCUCCAAACCUGGAAUUCAAAAAUAAGCUCCUUCAUUGAGGCCACUGCGAGCAACAUCCAAAGGGUUGGCGAGCAACAUGUUGCUCAUGAGCUACUGGUUUGGGGUCAAUGGGCCAGCUGGUUUGAUAUCUAAAGUAAAAGAGUGUGAAAAAGGUUAUCUACCAUGGGCCUAAAACAUAUAGGCAGGGCUGCUAUUCCAGAGAUGGAAAGGUGCAAUUUGAGAGCCACAAAGGGGGUUGGCUUUUGGUGAAUCAUGGUCAGUGUUUUGGCAUGGUUGGUUGGCCCACCACCCAGAGUACCCAGGAGACUGUUUGUCUAAUAAUUGGCACCCCUGGGGAUGGCCCUGCAUACAAAGGCUCAAAAUGAAUGUAUGAAACAUGGUCACUAUUACAAUGGGUUUAAAUAAAAUUGCAGAGUGUUGGGUCCCAAAUGAAUAAAGCUUGGACAAAUAUUUUUGAAACUUCGCAGUUCUAGUCUUUGGAUAUUGACAAUCCUGCUCCUAAUGCUUGCACAUGCUUUUCAUGCAGGCUUUUAUCAUUUUUAUAAGAUUUGGUAAAAAUUGGCAAGAUGAAUGUAAAAUGUAUCCCCUCGUGUUGAUACAUUCUUGAGGUUAUAUUACUAGGUAUAAAUGCUCAAGGUGCUGACAGAUACAGUUAGAGGGUAAAGCAGAUAAAAGGGUGCCACCCUCGGACAGAUUAAUGGAAGGUUACAGAUCCAAAUAUAUUGGCUUAUCAUAAAUAUCCAGGGGCUGCUGGGCAGUGACAGCAAAGCCUUUAAUUAGAAAUAUGUACGUUGUAAAUACAAUUCAGAGAGCAGAGUUAAAGGAGUUGUUCACUUCUGCUGAAACGUUUAGUAUGAUGUAGAGAUUGAUAUUCUGAGACCUUUGCAAUUGGAUUUCAUUUUUUUAUUAUUUCUGUUUUUGUAGCCAAAUUACCCUAGCAACCAUGCACUGAUAUGAAUAAGAGACUGGAAUAAGAGCCUGAAAAGGAACAUGAGUAAUAGAGUAGCAUCAAGAAUAUAUUUGUAGCCUUACAGAACAUUAGUUUUGCGAUGGGGUCACUGACCACCCAUUUGAAAGCCAGAACAAGAAGACAAACAAUGAAAAAACUAUAAGAAAUACAUAAUGAAAACCAUUAUAGUUAUUUAGCUUUUUAUUCAGCUGCUCUCCAGUUUGCAAUUUCCAAAUUACCCUAGCAACCAUGCAGUGAGUGCUGAGGAGCCCCUGCACUUGUUUUUUGGAUUUCUUACAGCGACAAAACACAAAAUAUCCCUUAAAUACAUUACACAUACACACAUACCUUACCCCUAUACACAUCCUUUCCUUUUCUGACAUUUAUUAGCCCACACAACACCAUCCCUACACAUCGUAACACAACCUCCCUCCUUUCCCUACACUCCCAAUGUUUUUUUUGCAGGUUUUUCUCUCAGUCCUUCUGAAUUUGCCACUGACAGGACAAUGUCUAGUAGGCAUGGGAAGAAUAGAACUUACAUCGAGGCUUUUUCACCUGAACUCGAUGAGCCGGUGAAGAUAAGAUGCAUCGUGAAGGCCCAGAAAUGGAAAUAUUUGGUUAUAUUGGUAGUGGAGGUGAGGGGACACACAACCUUUUAUAUUGUAUAUUCAAGUCUUAUUAGAAUAUUGUAUAUUCAAGUCUUAUUAGGCCAUAAAAGCUUCUAUUGGUGCAUUGGCUGCAAAAAUAAGAACACAAUGGCAGCCUUGAGGAAGCUUGUACAAUAUACACUCAAUUAAACAGGAGAGGAACAUGCAGAUAUCACAGAAGAGAUUAGGAGAAGAGAGCAGUACACUGAGACUGAGGGUAGAAAGAGUGCAGGAUCUUUGAUAUGGGAACAUAGAAUUGUACAGAGAUAAGGGAAGUAGAGGGUAAGGGGUUUGGCAGUGAGGGGGAGAUACAAGGAUAUUAUGGCAGGACAAGAGAGAGGUCAGAGAGAUUGGUGACAGAGCAGAAUUCAAGGAUAGUCCGUGGUGUUUGGGAUCAGACACAAACUUUAAUGUGUGUUAAUGCAGAGUUUUUUAUUUAAAUAUUACUAUUAAAAUAUGUUAAAUAAAUGUUAUAUGUAUUAUAGAGUUUGAUCCAGGGAAUAAUCCGAUCGCCUAUUGGGGUCAGGAAGGAUUUUUUUUUCCCCUCGGCAAGACUAAUUGGCGCCUGUUUUGCUGAGGGUUUUUCUUUGCCUUCCUCAGGGUCAACAUAUAAGGUUCAGCAAAUUAUCAAUAAAAAAGCCUUUUCUUUCAAUAUAAA
Molecule: long non-coding RNA, 2268 nt
Organism: Xenopus laevis (African clawed frog)
Lineage: Eukaryota; Metazoa; Chordata; Amphibia; Anura; Pipidae
Exons: 2
Source: RefSeq, a predicted model, not a curated record